UACGUAGGUGGCAAGCGUUGUCCGGAUUUACUGGGCGUAAAGGGCGCGCAGGCGGUCGUUCAAGUCGCGUGUGAAAGCCCCCGGCUCAACUGGGGAGGGUCACGCGAUACUGAUCGACUCGAAGGCAGGAGAGGGUAGUGGAAUUCCCGGUGUAGUGGUGAAAUGCGUAGAUAUCGGGAGGAACACCAGUGGCGAAGGCGACUACCUGGCCUGUUUCUUGACGCUGAGGCGCGAAAGCUAGGGGAGCAAACGGG
RNAcentral lists this ribosomal RNA (254 nucleotides) under uncultured bacterium. RNAcentral describes it as "partial 16S ribosomal RNA". It matches the Rfam family "Bacterial small subunit ribosomal RNA", at positions 524 to 776 of the family's 1533-position model. The record is from RNAcentral.